GACGAACGCUGGCGGCGUGCCUAACACAUGCAAGUCGAACGGUGAAGCGCCUUCCUUUUUGGUGGGUGUGGAUGAGUGGCGAACGGGUGAGUAACACGUGAGUAACCUGCCCCCUUCUUCUGGAUAACCGCAUGAAAGUGUGGCUAAUACGGGAUAUUCUGGGUCUGUCGCAUGAUGGGUCUGGGAAAGAUAUUGUUUCGGUGGGGGAUGGGCUCGCGGCCUAUCAGCUUGUUGGUGGGGUGAUGGCCUACCAAGGCGGUGACGGGUAGCCGGCCUGAGAGGGUGGACGGUCACACUGGGACUGAGACACGGACCAGACUACUACGGGAGGCAGCAGUGGGGAAUAUUGCACAAUGGGCGCAAGCAUGAUGCAGCGACGCCGCGGGAGGGAUGGAGGCCUUCGGGUUGUGAACCUCUUUCGCCAGUGAAGCAGGCCUGCCUCGUUUGUGGGUGGGUUGACGGUAGCUGGAUAAGAAGCGCCGGCUAACUACGUG
This 494-nucleotide ribosomal RNA is filed under the name uncultured bacterium. Its description in RNAcentral is "partial 16S ribosomal RNA". It matches the Rfam family "Bacterial small subunit ribosomal RNA", at positions 28 to 507 of the family's 1533-position model. The record is from RNAcentral.